UGUCAAUGAUGUGUGAAUUUCUUCACCUGAAAUUACUGUGAAGGGUAAAACCGGGAGCUUUUUAACACUGAGCCAC
This 76-nucleotide small nucleolar RNA is filed under the name Choloepus hoffmanni (Hoffmann's two-fingered sloth). The record is from RNAcentral. Lineage: Eukaryota; Metazoa; Chordata; Mammalia; Pilosa; Megalonychidae.